AACUCCGAAUGCCAAUUAAUUUAACUUGGGAGUCAGAACAUGGGUGAUAAGGUCCGUGUUCGAAAGGGAAACAGCCCAGACCACCAGCUAAGGUCCCAAAAUAUAUGUUAAGUGGAAAAGGAUGUGGCGUUGCCCAGACAACUAGGAUGUUGGCUUAGAAGCAGCCAUCAUUUAAAGAGUGCGUAAUAGCUCACUAGUCGAGUGACACUGCGCCGAAAAUGUACCGGGGCUAAACAUAUUACCGAAGCUGUGGAUUGUCCUUUGGACAAUGGUAGGAGAGCGUUCUAAGGGCGUUGAAGCAUGAUCGUAAGGACAUGUGGAGCGCUUAGAAGUGAGAAUGCCGGUGUGAGUAGCGAAAGACGGGUGAGAAUCCCGUCCACCGAUUGACUAAGGUUUCCAGAGGAAGGCUCGUCCGCUCUGGGUUAGUCGGGUCCUAAGCUGAGGCCGACAGGCGUAGGCGAUGGAUAACAGGUUGAUAUUCCUGUACCACCUAUAAUCGUUUUAAUCGAUGGGGGGACGCAGUAGGAUAGGCGAAGCGUGCGAUUGGAUUGCACGUCUAAGCAGUAAGGCUGAGUAUUAGGCAAAUCCGGUACUCGUUAAGGCUGAGC
Molecule: ribosomal RNA, 608 nt
Filed under: Staphylococcus aureus
Lineage: Bacteria; Bacillati; Bacillota; Bacilli; Caryophanales; Staphylococcaceae
Description: partial 23S ribosomal RNA
Rfam family: Bacterial large subunit ribosomal RNA
Source: RNAcentral